Molecule: ribosomal RNA, 468 nt
Filed under: uncultured bacterium
Lineage: Bacteria
Description: partial 16S ribosomal RNA
Rfam family: Bacterial small subunit ribosomal RNA
Source: RNAcentral
GACGAACGCUGGCGGCGUGCUUAACACAUGCAAGUCGAACGAAAAGGCCCUGCUUUUGUGGGGUGCUCGAGUGGCGAACGGGUGAGUAACACGUGAGUAACCUGCCCUUGACUUUGGGAUAACUUCAGGAAACUGGGGCUAAUACCGGAUAGGAGCUCCUGCUGCAUGGUGGGGGUUGGAAAGUUUCGGCGGUUGGGGCUGGACUCGCGGCUUAUCAGCUUGUUGGUGGGGUAGUGGCUUACCAAGGCUUUGACGGGUAGCCGGCCUGAGAGGGUGACCGGCCACAUUGGGACUGAGGUACGGCCCAGACUCCAACGGGAGGCAGCAGUGGGGAAUAUUGCACAAUGGGCGGAAGCCUGAUGCAGCAACGCCGCGUGCGGGAUGACGGCCUUCGGGUUGUAAACCGCUUUCGCCGGUGACGAAGCGUGAGUGACGGUAAUGGGUAAAGAAGCACCGGCUAACUACGUG